UACAGAGGGGGCAAGCGUUAUUCGGAAUUAUUGGGCGUAAAGGGCGCGUAGGCGGUUUUUUAAGUCAGAUGUGUAAUCCCCGGGCUUAACCUGGGAACUGCAUCUGAGACUGGGAGGCUAGAGUACUGGAGAGGGUGGUGGAAUUCCUCGUGUAGCGGUGAAAUGCGUAGAGAUGAGGAGGAACACCAGUGGCGAAGGCGGCCACCUGGACAGUAACUGACGCUGAGGCGCGAAAGUGUGGGUAGCAAACAGGAUUAGAUACCCUGGUAGUCCACGCUGUAAACGAUGAACACUUGGUGUGGAGGGAGUUGACCCCUUCCGUGCCGGAGCUAACGCGUUAAGUGUUCCGCCUGGGGAGUACGGUCGCAAGGCUGAGACUCAAAGGAAUUGACGGGGGCCCGCACAAGCGGUGGAGCAUGUGGUUUAAUUCGACGCAACGCGAAGAACCUUACCUGGGCUUGAACUGCAUUGGACCGGUCUAGAGAUAGGCCUUUCAGCAAUGACUGAUGCAGAGGUGCUGCAUGGCUGUCGUCAGCUCGUGUCGUGAGAUGUUGGGUUAAGUCCCGCAACGAGCGCAACCCUUACCCGUAGUUGCCAGCGCGUCAAGGCGGGAACUCUACGGGGACUGCCCGGGUUAACCGGGAGGAAGGUGGGGAUGAUGUCAAGUCCUCAUGGCCCUUAUGUCCAGGGCUACACACGUGCUACAAUGGGCGAUACAAACCGUUGCAAAGUCGCGAGAUGGAGCUAAUCGGAGAAAGUCGUCCUCAGUUCGGAUUGCAGUCCGCAACUCGACUGCAUGAAGGUGGAAUCGCUAGUAAUCGUGUAUCAGAACGAUACGGUGAAUACGUUCCCGGGCCU
Molecule: ribosomal RNA, 858 nt
Filed under: uncultured bacterium
Lineage: Bacteria
Description: bacterial SSU rRNA
Rfam family: Bacterial small subunit ribosomal RNA
Source: RNAcentral